CCUACGGGCGGCUGCAGUGGGGAAUAUUGGACAAUGGGCGCAAGCCUGAUCCAGCCACGCCGCGUGAGUGAUGAAGGCCUUCGGGUCGUAAAGCUCUGUGGGGAGGGACGAACCGCUGUCGGUUAAUACCCGGCAGCAUGACGGUACCUCCUUAGCAAGCACCGGCUAACUUCGUGCCAUCAGCCGCGGUAACACGAAGGGGGCAAACGUUGGUCGGAAUUGUUGGUAGUCGAGCGCGCAUAGUCGGCUUGAAAGCCCUCGGCUUAACCAAGGAAGUGCAUCCAAAACUGCUGAGCUUGAGUAGUUAAGAGGAUCGCGGAAUUCCCGGUGUAGAGGUGAAAUUCGUAGAGAUCGGGAGGAACACCAGUGGCGAAGGCGGCGAUCUGGGAACAUACUGACGCUGAGGUGCGAAAGCGUGGGGAGCAAACAGGAUUAGAUACCCCUGUAGUC
RNAcentral lists this ribosomal RNA (450 nucleotides) under uncultured bacterium. Its description in RNAcentral is "partial 16S ribosomal RNA". It matches the Rfam family "Bacterial small subunit ribosomal RNA", at positions 338 to 795 of the family's 1533-position model. The record is from RNAcentral.